UUAAACGACCAAGAAGUUGAGAAACAAGUUCGUAGGUUACCACUGAGAAUGGUUUUCCCGAUAUCGUGUAAUAUUAUUAGUGUAUUUCCAGUUAGCAAACCGUGUGGUGCCAUUUAUUGAAUAUUUGUUUAGGGGAAAUGAUGUGAUUUUUGUAAAAAUUCGUCGAGUAACGUAAAAUAUUGUUUAAAGUAAUGGAAUCCGUAAUACGAAAGAUUAAUUUUUUCUCUCGUGUUAAUAUUUAUAUUUGUAUUUGUAUUUCUGUUUUUUUAUUCAAUUGUGUGGUGUGUUUUAGCGGUGAAACACCGACUACUUCUGCAGAUCCUUUGCCCGAGGGUCAUUGUGCCAUUCCAAUAUCAUACAUAGAUAAUAAAACAGCAACAUACAAGUGUCCUAGAUCAGCACAAAACCAAUCCUGUAUCACAAAUGGUGGAACCGCAGUUCCCGAAUACACCAAGGCUACUUUCUCAUCAUGCAAACCAGGAUAUUCUCGAGUUGAUAAUAAGACUGUGAAUUGGGUUUGUCUGGAAGGAAGCUGGUCACCAGAUUUACCCCAAUGUGAAAAAAUAUGUGAUAAACUGAAUCCUGUAAAUGUUGAUCUCGCUUGUUACCGUAACAAUGGUCCGAUCGAUUGUAAUGGACCUUUAAUUACCGGCGACAGAGUACAUCCUACAUGUAAGCAAUUUUACACUUACAAAGAUUUCGUUCCAAUUUAUGAAGAAUUAGUCUGCCAAGAAGAUGGAAAAUGGGAUAACAUUUUGUUUUCUUGCGUUCCGGAAUGUGGACGUCCAUUCACGGGUGUCGUGACUUUAAUAUCGGAUGAUACAACGGAAAAGUAUGGGGAUUCACCAUGGCAUGUGGCCAUUUAUGAUAUUACUAAAAAUCUAUUAAUUUGCGGUGGCACCAUAAUAAAUCCUCACUUAAUUGUAUCAGCUGCUCAUUGUUUCUACGAUCGUCUAAAUCAGAAAAAAUUGCCCGAAGAAAAUUACGAAAUUGUGGUUGGUAAAUUUACAGGAAAUUACAAGGUGAAAGAUAACCCCGAUCAAAAAUCAUACAAGAUUAAAGAAAUUCGAUUUUCCAACAAAGGUUACUUUCCAACGCUUACCUAUCACGCAGAUGAUAUUGCAAUAUUAAUUUUGGAUGAAAAAAUUGAAAUCAGCCCGACAGUUUUACCAGCCUGCGUAGAUUGGAUUCAUACACAGAAGUAUCAUCCUCCUGAAGGCACUCCAGGAAAAGUCGUCGGAUGGGGUGUCAACGAGUUAGGAAAAUUAAGCGAACAAUUACUAACGGCUAAUUUACCUUUCAUCAGCAAUAACCGAUGUAUUUCCAUUGUCCCCAACGAUUUCAAACCGUACAUAACUUAUGAUAAAUUUUGCGCUGGUUCUGAAACAGGACCUGGUGUAUUGCAGGGGGAUGAUGGAGGUGGAUUGUUAUUCCGAGAAGGAACAUUUUACUACAUACGAGGUGUUGUCAGCAUAAUGCAACCUUCGUCCAUGGCCAUCGCUGCUUUUACCGACUUAGCUGACCAUAUAAAUUGGAUUUUAAGUGUAAGGAAUGAGGUGGAACAAGAUAUUAUUAAGAAAGAGACUACGCUCGUUUCGAAGGGUUGAAGAUGAUCUUCUCUGAACUGCCAUUUGAAUUCGCAUUUACGAUAUUUACCUAGGGGAACAAACUGAGGUUUAUGUGAACCACUAGUUACGCAAGCAGCGCGUGACUUUUGGGCCACUCUAUGUAUAAACCAACUCACAAAACGUACGAAUAAAUCAUCAGGAAAUUUUCGUUCAGGAUCCAAUGUUCAAGAAGAGCUAUACGAAUCGCCAGACCGUGACCUUCUCAAAAUAUUAUUAAAUAAAUAAAACAUGUAAAACAAUUGUU
This is an RNA transcript of Planococcus citri (citrus mealybug), 1872 nucleotides long. It is a transcript of the gene named modular serine protease-like, with no coding region annotated. The transcript is spliced from 9 exons. Lineage: Eukaryota; Metazoa; Arthropoda; Insecta; Hemiptera; Pseudococcidae. The record is from RefSeq and is a predicted model, not a curated record.